CUGGGCAAAAAUCUCAUCUCACGUCACCCAAAGCUGCAGUCUACGGUUCUCCACUGUUAUUUACUUGAAGACCCUUUACUUAUCAUCCAGUCAUACCAUAUAAACCACCCACUAGUUCCAUCAAUUAAACAAUGUUCACCCAAGCAAAAGAACAAUGGAUCAUAGACGGGGAAUUAGUUUCUUAUUUUAAUUUUAGUAUCAUUUUCCCUUCAGAAAAUUAUACUUGUCAAUAAUCAUACAUUUUCAACAAAACACGGCAGCAUUUCUUAAAAUUAUGCCGGAUAACAUAAAUUCAGAGAAAGAACGAAAGCUGUUCAAAGUGCUAAAUUAGUGUGUAUAACAAAUUGUGAUGUACUGUAAACAUUGUGAUCUAAUUUAAAAUUUUGAAGUCAAGAGUUGGAUGUCAAUAGCAAGAAAAGGAAAAACAAAUAGAAGAGCAAUAUCAUAAUUCUUUCCAGCGGAAAAUACCAGACCAGAUAGAAGGCAUAUGACUCAACCUACAAUUAUAAGAUCAAUUUCUUCACAAAUGAAGCUCUAAAGGGGCAGUAUAUGAAGUUAACUAGAAUCAAACAAUUGCAACUCUACUUUGUUCAUUGAUAUAAUGCAAUGCUUUGUUUCUUCGUUCCUGUUAAUAGCUUCAACAGUAAACCCUUUCCUCAAGAUUCUUUAACUGAGAAUUGUAUCAAAUGCACGCUUUGCUGCUUUCUUGAUAGUGGAGUGAAAAUUUACUCAUCCAUAAAACUAGAAUUGAAAGAAUUAUAUACCUCGCUUUUAUCACCAGCAUUCUCACUUAAUAAUCAACUCAAUUCUAUUUAAUAGAAGCAACAGUCUAUAGUAUUACUUAUCAACAAAAACAACAAACCAUCAUAAAAAGGCCAAUCCGCUUCAUCCAGAACAUAAGCAGGAUACAUUUCCCGUCUCACUACAAGCAUCUGUCUCGUGUAACACCCAUUUCAGGCCACUGGAUAAAACAAUGUCUUAUCAUUUUUAUAAAAUUUUAGCAAUUACCUUCCCAAAAUCCAACGGACAAGAAACACCUGCACACACAGGAAUUUGCAUUCCGUGACCAGUAAGAUGAAUUUGUUCUAGUUCUCGAAAUUCAGUACUCUUAACAAUGGCUAUCCAUUCUAAUAAUCAGAUUAACCAGCUGCUGUCACUCUGAAAAACCAACAAGAAAACAAGCAUAAAAGAAGU
This is a long non-coding RNA of Populus euphratica (Euphrates poplar), 1194 nucleotides long. RefSeq lists it as uncharacterized. The transcript is spliced from 2 exons. Lineage: Eukaryota; Viridiplantae; Streptophyta; Magnoliopsida; Malpighiales; Salicaceae. The record is from RefSeq and is a predicted model, not a curated record.